AGAGUUUGAUCCUGGCUCAGAAUGAACGUUGGCGGCGUGGAUUAGGCAUGCAAGUCGUGCGGAAAGGCUCCUUCGGGAGUACUCGAGCGGCGUAAGGGAGAGUAACGCGUGGAUAUCUACCCCCUGGUCUGGGAUAGCGGCGGGAAACUGCCGGUAAUACCAGAUAAUGUCUGCGGACCAAAGGUGUGAUUCCGCCGGGGGAUGAGUUCGCGUCCUAUUAGCUAGUUGGUGGGGUAAUGGCCUACCAAGGCAAAGAUGGGUACCGGGUGUGAGAGCAUGGCCCGGCUCACUGGGACUGAGACACUGCCCAGACACCUACGGGUGGCUGCAGUCGAGAAUCUUCGGCAAUGGGCGAAAGCCUGACCGAGCGACGCCGCGUGCGGGAUGAAGGCCUUCGGGUUGUAAACCGCUGUCAGAGGGGAGGAAAUGCAUGAGGGUUCUCCCUCGUGUUUGACCUAUCCUCAGAGGAAGUACGGGCUAAGUUCGUGCCAGCAGCCGCGGUAAUACGAACCGUACGAACGUUAUUCGGAUUCACUGGGCUUAAAGGGUGCGUAGGCGGCUGGGAAAGUUGGGUGUGAAAGCCCUCGGCUCAACCGAGGAAUUGCGCCCAAAACUUCCUGG
This 621-nucleotide ribosomal RNA is filed under the name uncultured bacterium. RNAcentral's name for it is "bacterial SSU rRNA". It matches the Rfam family "Bacterial small subunit ribosomal RNA", at positions 8 to 640 of the family's 1533-position model. The record is from RNAcentral.